AUACGGAGGGUGCAAGCGUUAAUCGGAAUUACUGGGCGUAAAGCGCGCGUAGGCGGUCUAUUAAGUCAGAUGUGAAAUCCCAGGGCUCAACCUUGGAACUGCAUCUGAUACUGGUAGACUAGAGUUUUGGAGAGGGAAGUAGAAUUUCAGGUGUAGCGGUGAAAUGCAUAGAGAUCUGAAGGAAUACCAGUGGCGAAGGCGACUUCCUGGCCAAAAACUGACGCUGAGGUGCGAAAGCGUGGGUAGCAAACGGGAUUAGAAACCCUAGUAGUCC
This 274-nucleotide ribosomal RNA is filed under the name uncultured bacterium. RNAcentral describes it as "partial 16S ribosomal RNA". It matches the Rfam family "Bacterial small subunit ribosomal RNA", at positions 523 to 796 of the family's 1533-position model. The record is from RNAcentral.